RNAcentral lists this ribosomal RNA (250 nucleotides) under uncultured bacterium. RNAcentral's name for it is "partial 16S ribosomal RNA". It matches the Rfam family "Bacterial small subunit ribosomal RNA", at positions 524 to 773 of the family's 1533-position model. The record is from RNAcentral.
UACGAAGGGGGCUAGCGUUGUUCGGAAUUACUGGGCGUAAAGCGCGCGCAGGCGGUUCUCCAAGUCAGUGGUGAAAGCCCGGAGCUCAACUCCGGAAUUGCCAUUGAAACUGUAGAACUUGAGGACGAGAGAGGUGAGUGGAAUUCCCAGUGUAGAGGUGAAAUUCGUAGAUAUUGGGAAGAACACCGGUGGCGAAGGCGGCUCACUGGCUCGUUUCUGACGCUCAGGCGCGACAGCGUGGGGAUCAAAC